ACUAAGCGUACACAGUGGAUGCCCUGGCAGUCAGAGGCGAUGAAGGACGUGCUAAUCUGCGAUAAGCGUCGGUAAGGUGAUAUGAACCGUUAUAACCGGCGAUUUCCGAAUGGGGAAACCCAGUGUGUUUCGACACACUAUCAUUAACUGAAUCCAUAGGUUAAUGAGGCGAACCGGGGGAACUGAAACAUCUAAGUACCC
RNAcentral lists this ribosomal RNA (201 nucleotides) under Escherichia coli. Its description in RNAcentral is "partial 23S ribosomal RNA". It matches the Rfam family "Bacterial large subunit ribosomal RNA", at positions 10 to 211 of the family's 2925-position model. The record is from RNAcentral. Lineage: Bacteria; Pseudomonadati; Pseudomonadota; Gammaproteobacteria; Enterobacterales; Enterobacteriaceae.